This 466-nucleotide ribosomal RNA is filed under the name uncultured bacterium. Its description in RNAcentral is "partial 16S ribosomal RNA". It matches the Rfam family "Bacterial small subunit ribosomal RNA", at positions 28 to 507 of the family's 1533-position model. The record is from RNAcentral.
GACGAACGCUGGCGGCGCGCCUAACACAUGCAAGUCGAACGAGCGAGAGAGAGCUUGCUUUCUCGAGCGAGUGGCGAACGGGUGAGUAACGCGUGAGGAACCUGCCUCAAAGAGGGGGACAACAGUUGGAAACGACUGCUAAUACCGCAUAAGCCCACGGCUCGGCAUCGAGCAGGGGGAAAAGUAGCAAUCCGCUUUGAGAUGGCCUCGCGUCCGAUUAGCUAGUUGGUGAGGUAACGGCCCACCAAGGCGACGAUCGGUAGCCGGACUGAGAGGUUGAACGGCGACAUUGGGACUGAGACACGGCCCAGACUCCUACGGGAGGCAGCAGUGGGGAAUAUUGCACAAUGGGGGAAACCCUGAUGCAGCGACGCCGCGUGGAGGAAGAAGGUCUUCGGAUUGUAAACUCCUGUUGUUGGGGAAGAUAAUGACGGUACCCAACAAGGAAGUGACGGCUAACUACGUG